This 734-nucleotide long non-coding RNA is filed under the name Cricetulus griseus (Chinese hamster). RNAcentral's name for it is "lncRNA (ENSCGRG00015035523.1)". The record is from RNAcentral. Lineage: Eukaryota; Metazoa; Chordata; Mammalia; Rodentia; Cricetidae.
GAAAAACCUCGGAUGGCAUCAUCUCACCUCACAUCACACUCCUCUUUUCUCUGCUUCUUGCCACGUGGUUUUUCCAGCUCCUCUGGUUCUAUCCAGGCCAGUGCUAGCAAGUGAAGUAAGUCCAUGGAACUUACUUCAGUUUAGACACAGAAACCCUUGCGUGGUGGUGCGUGCCUGCAAUCCCAGUGUUUAGGGGCUGACGCAGUAGAUGAAGACUUCGGGCCAGUUCAAGGCUAGCCUGAACUAUAUAAGGAGACCCUACUUCAAACAAAUCAAAACAAGAUGAGCCCUGAUGAGAUCAUCAGAGAUCUUCAGGAUCCCGAAGAAGUUGGCAUCUCCAAGCAAAGACUAUUGCCAAAGCUGUUCCUCUUGGAGAAAGCCCAGCUGAGAGAGGAUACCAUGCUAGACAGCCUGCCCAGACCCUCCCUCCACACUCUGCUUCCGAGGGAGUAGAGAUGGACAGAAGAUGGGCAAUACACAGGGGAUGAAACCAAAUGACAAAUGGGAGGACCACGUGACCAAGCUAAGUUCAUCCUUAAGGGGCUUGCAUACUUCCAAUGAAGGGACCAACUCCCCAUUUCGGCAGCCAUAACAGCUGAACACGUACUUGCCUGACCUUGUCUUGGUCACUAGGAGGUCAGAUGCCUACCCCUUUCAGCAGCCAUGACAGUAACACAUGCUUGCCCUGACCUUGCCUUGGUCACUAGGAGGUCAGAUGCCUGUCUCCUGGCAAG